CUACUCUAUGGUGUUCAGCACAUAAGCUUUUGAGCCUUAAGGAAGUUCCACCUUAAU
RNAcentral lists this transfer RNA (57 nucleotides) under Porcellionides pruinosus. RNAcentral's name for it is "tRNA-Gln". The record is from RNAcentral. Lineage: Eukaryota; Metazoa; Arthropoda; Malacostraca; Isopoda; Porcellionidae.